This 433-nucleotide ribosomal RNA is filed under the name Theileria sp. MP-2015. Its description in RNAcentral is "SSU rRNA". It matches the Rfam family "Eukaryotic small subunit ribosomal RNA", at positions 558 to 1021 of the family's 1831-position model. The record is from RNAcentral. Lineage: Eukaryota; Apicomplexa; Aconoidasida; Piroplasmida; Theileriidae.
AGUCUGGUGCCAGCAGCCGCGGUAAUUCCAGCUCCAAUAGCGUAUAUUAAAAUUGUUGCAGUUAAAAAGCUCGUAGUUGAAUUUCUGCUGCAUUGCAUUUUCUCCUAUACGAGUUUUUGCAUUGUGGCUUAUUUCGGUUAUAAAAUUAUUUUUAUUUCCGGAUGUUUACUUUGAGAAAAUUAGAGUGCUCAAAGCAGGCUUUUGCCUUGAAUAGUUUAGCAUGGAAUAAUAAAGUAGGACUUUGGUUCUAUUUUGUUGGUUUUAGGUACCAAAGUAAUGGUUAAUAGGAACAGUUGGGGGCAUUCGUAUUUAACUGUCAGAGGUGAAAUUCUUAGAUUUGUUAAAGACGAACUACUGCGAAAGCAUUUGCCAAGGAUGUUUUCAUUAAUCAAGAACGAAAGUUAGGGGAUCGAAGACGAUCAGAUACCGUCGU